UACGGAGGGGGCUAGCGUUGCUCGGAAUCACUGGGCGUAAAGGGUGCGUAGGCGGGUCUUUAAGUCAGGGGUGAAAUCCUGGAGCUCAACUCCAGAACUGCCUUUGAUACUGAGGAUCUCGAGUUCGGGAGAGGUGAGUGGAACUGCGAGUGUAGAGGUGAAAUUCGUAGAUAUUCGCAAGAACACCAGUGGCGAAGGCGGCUCACUGGCCCGAUACUGACGCUGAGGCACGAAAGCGUGGGGAGCAAACAGG
Molecule: ribosomal RNA, 253 nt
Filed under: uncultured bacterium
Lineage: Bacteria
Description: partial 16S ribosomal RNA
Rfam family: Bacterial small subunit ribosomal RNA
Source: RNAcentral